GCAGCCGCGGUAAUACGGGGGAUGCAAGCGUUAUCCGGAUUUAUUGGGUUUAAAGGGUGCGUAGGCGGCCUGUUAAGUCAGCGGUGAAAUUCAGGGGCUCAACCUCUGCCGUGCCGUUGAUACUGGCAAGCUGGAAUGCGGAUGCCGUUGGAGGAAUGUGUGGUGUAGCGGUGAAAUGCAUAGAUAUCACACAGAACACCGAUUGCGAAGGCAUCUGACGAAUCCGCAAUUGACGCUGAUGCACGAAAGCGUGGGGAUCAAACAGGAUUAGAUACCCC
Molecule: ribosomal RNA, 278 nt
Filed under: uncultured bacterium
Lineage: Bacteria
Description: partial 16S ribosomal RNA
Rfam family: Bacterial small subunit ribosomal RNA
Source: RNAcentral